ACGCGUGGAACCUUACCAGGUCUUGACAUCCCAUUGACCGCUAUGGAGACAUAGCUUUCCCUUCGGGGACAGUGGUGACAGGUGGUGCAUGGUUGUCGUCAGCUCGUGUCGUGAGAUGUUGGGUUAAGUCCCGCAACGAGCGCAACCCUUGUUCUUAGUUGCCAUCAUUUAGUUGGGCACUCUAAGGAGACUGCCGGUGACAAACCGGAGGAAGGUGGGGAUGACGUCAAAUCAUCAUGCCCCUUAUGACCUGGGCUACACACGUGCUACAAUGGAUGGUACAAAGGGCUGCAAGACCGCGAGGUUUAGCCAAUCCCAUAAAACCAUUCUCAGUUCGGAUUGCAGGCUGCAACUCGCCUGCAUGAAGCUGGAAUCGCUAGUAAUCGCGGAUCAGCAUGCCGCGGUGAAUACGUUCCCGGGCCUUGCACUCACCGCCCGU
RNAcentral lists this ribosomal RNA (439 nucleotides) under uncultured bacterium. Its description in RNAcentral is "bacterial SSU rRNA". It matches the Rfam family "Bacterial small subunit ribosomal RNA", at positions 959 to 1397 of the family's 1533-position model. The record is from RNAcentral.